GGGGAUUUAGCUCAGUGGUAGAGCGCUUGCCUAGCAAGUGCAAGGUCCUGGGUUUGGUCCCCAGCUCCG
Non-coding RNA from Rattus norvegicus (Norway rat), 69 nucleotides. The record is from Rfam. NCBI's taxonomy places the organism in Eukaryota, Metazoa, Chordata, Mammalia, Rodentia, Muridae.